This 445-nucleotide ribosomal RNA is filed under the name Bacillus pumilus. RNAcentral's name for it is "bacterial SSU rRNA". It matches the Rfam family "Bacterial small subunit ribosomal RNA", at positions 979 to 1425 of the family's 1533-position model. Lineage: Bacteria; Bacillati; Bacillota; Bacilli; Caryophanales; Bacillaceae. The record is from RNAcentral.
UCUUGACAUCCUCUGACAACCCUAGAGAUAGGGCUUUCCCUUCGGGGACAGAGUGACAGGUGGUGCAUGGUUGUCGUCAGCUCGUGUCGUGAGAUGUUGGGUUAAGUCCCGCAACGAGCGCAACCCUUGAUCUUAGUUGCCAGCAUUUAGUUGGGCACUUUAAGGUGACUGCCGGUGACAAACCGGAGGAAGGUGGGGAUGACGUCAAAUCAUCAUGCCCCUUAUGACCUGGGCUACACACGUGCUACAAUGGACAGAACAAAGGGCUGCGAGACCGCAAGGUUUAGCCAAUCCCAUAAAUCUGUUUUCAGUUCGGAUCGCAGUCUGCAACUCGACUGCGUGAAGCUGGAAUCGCUAGUAAUCGCGGAUCAGCAUGCCGCGGUGAAUACGUUCCCGGGCCUUGUACACACCGCCCGUCACACCACGAGAGUUUGUAACACCCGAA